ACAUCUAGCUAGCUAGGUUACCACGCCAAAAACCCAAUCUUUUUUCAGAACCUAAAUAGUUGACUUAUAUUUUAUUUAACACUAUUUCAAAUACAGCCUCUCAAACACUUGAUUAGGAAUAGGAUUCAAAAGCUUCACAAUUUCCUUCUUCUUAUCCGGAUUCUUAACAGCAUCAUUCUUAAGCACUGCAAGAAUCUCAUCAGCCGCGCCGCUAACAAUGCUGAGAGGCUGCCGGCCAAGAUGCUGUUGAAUGACACUCAGCAUGCCUCAUAGGCAGCCCUAGUCUCUUUGCUCUUGGGCUGAUACACGCCUUCCUCAGUGGCAGUGAAGACACUCUCUUCCAGGAGGCGCCGGCGCUUGUCCUGUCGAGACAGGGGCUCGGUCAAAGGGUCACGCUCCUAGUCAUCACUGCAUUCUUUUCCCAUUUCUCUGCUUCAAGAACCCUAGUCAUCACCUCAGGGAAGAUGAUAAAUGCUGUCUUUUUCCGGUCAUCCUUUUUCUGUUCAAGUCGAUACAAGCUCGCUUUGUCAAUUGGCACAUAGCAAAUAGAGAAAUCCACGAUUUUUCUCUCUUUUGUCCGGAUUCAGAUGCUUUUUGGGCUCAUGAACCUGGUUUAUGAUAGCAAAUAGGAGGAAAGAAGUAUUAGAAUGUGAACAUGGAUGUUAAGCUUUUUGACAAACCCAUUGCUUAGAAGGAGGCUUUGUUUCGUCGUGGUUUUGAGUCAUGCUGUGUAAAUACAUUUAGAGAUAUGUAUAGGAGAAUCAAUCAAGUACAAAUCUGUAGCUUUGCUUCAUUGUAAAAAAUGAUGAGAGUACAGCUUCAAUGGAUAAUGCCAACAAAGUCUUUAAUUGUAAUUAACUUUUUUAUGACUUUAUUAUGUGUUUAUAAUUUCAAUGUGUUUAUCUGACCA
Arachis stenosperma is the source of this 910-nucleotide long non-coding RNA. RefSeq lists it as uncharacterized. The record is from RefSeq and is a predicted model, not a curated record. The transcript is spliced from 2 exons. Lineage: Eukaryota; Viridiplantae; Streptophyta; Magnoliopsida; Fabales; Fabaceae.